CUUUCUACUUGUCUUCUAUUUAUUUAUAAUAUUGAUAUCAGCAUUCGCUAAGAACAGACAGAAGAGGAACGUUUCCACCUGGCCACAUGAUUGGCACGAAGGCACAUGGUCCAAGACAGGUUUCAAUUCCAUGUGGUCGGUUGACUGGAGACCUCACAUUUUUUCCUAUGGCAUUUCCAUGACAUGGUAUCUGCUUUCCUUUGGACAAAUGACAGAGACCCAGUGAGCAAGAGAGUGCCUAAGACAAAACCACAGACUUCUGAUAACAUAAUUCUGAAAAUAACAUCACUUCUGCUAUACACUGUUGGUCACACAUGCCAACCCUGGUACAGUGUGGGAGGGGACUACACAGAAGUGUGAAUUCUAAGAGCCAAGGAUCACUGGGCGUUACCUUGGAAACUGACUACUGCAAGGCCCUAGAUGCAUCCAUCUUUAAAUAUGCCUGAAUAUUUCCCUGCAUUUAAAAGUUAAAAUAACAAGUAUCUUUCUGGUUUAAGUUUGUUUGUCCCCUAUAGUGAUCAAGGUGUGUUUGUUUGUUUGUUUUUCCUUAUUCUAUAAACCUAAAAAACACAAAAUCCGAUUAUGGUGGUUUGAAGAGAAGAGGGUGAUCAAGGGAGGGAACUCAGGAGUGUGUAUUAGUCUCCAUAAGUAGUCAAAUGGAGUGGAGGGCAUCAAGAAAUAAGAUUUGUGCAGCUCAAGAAAGGAAUGAAGUUAAGCUGAGUUCCUGCCAGCAAAGAGGACAAAUAAAGGUGUUUCAUAUUGAUCUAUCUCUGAUCAGAGAUGAGACACUGGACAUAGAAUUAAAGCAGACUCUAUGUCAGGUUAAGUUUAUUUUCCCAUGUAGGUUUAAAGAGCAGAAAAUAGGAAUCAGAAGUACAGUUGAGACAAAUUGUACAAGAUAAUAAGACUUCAAUGGGAUCCAAUACAAGCACUGAAACUACUCAAGAAUAUCUGUUAUUGGAAAGUUCAAGUAUGAAAAAUGCAUGUUUAUUAUAAUAAUAUAAAACACAUUUGCUAUUUAAUAGCUACAGCUACACAGUGGUUGAGACUUUCUGAGAAAAUGUGAAUAAAUCACACCAACCAAGCCCAGAAUAAAAUACAGUUAUAAUAUAAGAAUAUCAUUAGGAUUUGUCUUAUGGCAAUAAAUCAUUUUAAUAAAACUGCUGUUAACAAUGCACACUGAAUAGCUUAAGUUUUUUUCCCCUCUAGGAGUUCUUGAAAUAAACUUCUU
Molecule: long non-coding RNA, 1231 nt
Filed under: Homo sapiens (human)
Lineage: Eukaryota; Metazoa; Chordata; Mammalia; Primates; Hominidae
Description: HSALNT0071774
Source: RNAcentral